GCGAACGCUGGCGGUAGGCCUAACACAUGCAAGUCGAACGGCAGCACAGUAAGAGCUUGCUCUUACGGGUGGCGAGUGGCGGACGGGUGAGGAAUACAUCGGAAUCUACUUUUUCGUGGGGGAUAACGUAGGGAAACUUACGCUAAUACCGCAUACGACCUACGGGUGAAAGCAGGGGAUCUUCGGACCUUGCGCGAUUGAAUGAGCCGAUGUCGGAUUAGCUAGUUGGCGGGGUAAAGGCCCACCAAGGCGACGAUCCGUAGCUGGUCUGAGAGGAUGAUCAGCCACACUGGAACUGAGACACGGUCCAGACUCCUACGGGAGGCAGCAGUGGGGAAUAUUGGACAAUGGGCGCAAGCCUGAUCCAGCCAUACCGCGUGGGUGAAGAAGGCCUUCGGGUUGUAAAGCCCUUUUGUUGGGAAAGAAAAGCAGCAGGUUAAUACCCCGCUGUUCUGACGGUACCCAAAGAAUAAGCACCGGCUAACUUCGUG
This 491-nucleotide ribosomal RNA is filed under the name uncultured bacterium. RNAcentral describes it as "partial 16S ribosomal RNA". It matches the Rfam family "Bacterial small subunit ribosomal RNA", at positions 29 to 507 of the family's 1533-position model. The record is from RNAcentral.